Molecule: unclassified non-coding RNA, 28 nt
Filed under: Mus musculus (house mouse)
Lineage: Eukaryota; Metazoa; Chordata; Mammalia; Rodentia; Muridae
Description: oocyte_clustered_small_RNA5578
Source: RNAcentral
UAGAGGAGUAUUCCAGGGAGACUAGCAA